RNAcentral lists this ribosomal RNA (253 nucleotides) under uncultured bacterium. Its description in RNAcentral is "partial 16S ribosomal RNA". It matches the Rfam family "Bacterial small subunit ribosomal RNA", at positions 524 to 776 of the family's 1533-position model. The record is from RNAcentral.
UACGUAGGGUGCGAGCGUUAAUCGGAAUUACUGGGCGUAAAGCGUGCGCAGGCGGUUCGCUGUGUCUGCGGUGAAAGCCCCGGGCUCAACCUGGGAAUGGCCGUGGAAACUGGCGAGCUGGAGUGUGGCAGAGGGGGGUGGAAUUCCACGUGUAGCAGUGAAAUGCGUAGAGAUGUGGAGGAACACCGAUGGCGAAGGCAGCCCCCUGGGCUGACACUGACGCUCAGGCGCGAAAGCGUGGGGAGCAAACAGG